RNAcentral lists this ribosomal RNA (253 nucleotides) under uncultured bacterium. RNAcentral's name for it is "partial 16S ribosomal RNA". It matches the Rfam family "Bacterial small subunit ribosomal RNA", at positions 524 to 776 of the family's 1533-position model. The record is from RNAcentral.
UACGUAGGUGACCAGCGUUGUCCGGAUUUACUGGGCGUAAAGAGCGCGCAGGCGGUCGUUCAAGUCGAGUGUGAAAGCCCCCGGCUCAACUGGGGAGGGUCAUUCGAUACUGAUCGACUCGAAGGCAGGAGAGGGAAGCGGAAUUCCCGGUGUAGUGGUGAAAUUCGUAGAUAUCGGGAGGAACAUCAGUGGCGAAGGCGGCGACCUGGGCCAAUAUUGACGCUGAGGUGCGAAAGCGUGGGGAGCAAACAGG